GAAGAAGAAAAUAACAACUCAAAACAAAACUUUUAUUUUGCUCAUAUAUAUAUAUACACACACACACACACACACAUGUAGAUAAUGUUAUUCAAUUCGUCUUGGUCUCAUAUAAGUAAAUAUACAUUGAAGGGUAUGUAUAUAUAUAUAUAUAUAUAUAUGUAUGUGAGAUAAAUAAUUUUUUAAGUAAAAAAGAAAAGAAAAGGAGACAGGAUCUUAUCAUAAUCGUUUGGGUUGAUUGUAAUAGACAAGAGGCAGAGAGACACGCACGCAGUCACACGUGUGCAACAGUGCAUGAGAUCUGGAGACAUGGAGGAGUGGGUGGUGGAGAUUGCUGCUCUCGCACAAAUAUUUUUUUUUUUACUUUUUAUUUAUUAAAUUAAUAAAAGUAAAAGCGAGAUGUUUGACCAAAAAGUCAAAAGAAAUACGUGCAAGUACGUAAAAUACGCAGAGUUGGACUCGGUCAACCCCACGAAAAUAUGUCCUGGAGUACUAAAACUCCCGAGGACGCUUUUGGAAAAAUAAGCUGUAGGGAUUUGAUCAACCCGUAACAUAUACAUACAUACAUACAUACAUACAUACAUACAUACACAUAUGCAUACACAUGCAUGCAUGUUUUAAUUGGGUAAGGAUGAAAUUUACCCAAUAAAUAUAUUAAAUGCAAAAGAAUUACUGCUCAACUAAUGGAACGUUAUGUAUUUAAUAUGUUAGUGGGUCGGAAAUAUUAAUUGUAGUAAUUAGUAAAUCCCACCAAACCGAGCUUCCUUGGAAUCUCGGAUCGCGCCGUGUUAUCCUGAACAUGGAUAGCGCUUUUAUUGUUCAAUCUUUUGAACAAGAUAAUCAAUAACAAGACGGUGGAUACAAAUGCUAAUUCUAACUUUUUGCUUGCAAUUAAAAUUUUACUCGUAAAUUAUUGAAUUGUUAGGUACAACAUAUACGUCGAAGGACAAUAAAGGUACUGGACGGGUUCAUGGGAGGCCACUCUUUACUGCACCCACUUCCUAAACUUCUGAGUAUUUCUCGUAAGGACAUUUUUGGUAUUUUAUGUUCACGACUGUAUAAUAAACGUAAUAUUUAUGUCUGAUUAUUUUCGUUAGUUAUAUUGAUUGUUUUUUCUUGUAUUUAAAAAAAAAAUACCUUUUAUUACAAAGCUUUAUUAAUUAAUAACUAUAUUAAUUGUAGUAAUUAGUAACCGCACCAGACCUAGCUUGCUUGGAAUCUCGAAUCGUACCGUGUUAUCUUAAAGAUGGAUAGCGUUUUUAUUGUUCAACAUUUUGAAUAAAAUAAUCAAUAACGAGACGGUGGACACAAAUAUUAAUUCUAACUUCCUGCUUGCAAUUAGAACUUUGCUCGUAAAAUAUUGAAUUGUUAUGGUACAAUAUAUACGUCGAAGGGCAAUAAAGGUACUGACUAUCUGGUAAACCUGACUUACGACGGGUUCAUGGGAUGCCACUUUUUAUUGCACCCACUUCCUAAACUUGUAAGUAUUUCUCGUAAGGAUAUCUUUUGUAUUUUAUGUUCACGACUGUAUAAUAAACGUAAUAUUCAUGUUUGAUUAUUUUCGUUAGUUAUAUUGAUUGUUUUUUCUUGUAUUUAAAAAAAAUACCCUUUAUUACAAAGCUUUAUUAAUUAAUAACUAUAUUAAUUGUAGUAAUUAGUAACCACACCAGGCCGAGCUUGCUUGGAAUCUCGAAUCGUGUCGUGUUAUCUUAAAGAUGGAUAGUGCUUUUAUUGUUCAACAUUUUGAAUAAAAUAAUCAAUAACGAAACGGUGGACACAAAUAUUAAUUCUAACUUCCUGCUUGCAAUUAGAACUUUGCUCGUAAAAUAUUGAAUUGUUAGGAUACAACAUAUACGUCGAAGGACAAUAAAGGUAUUGACUAUCUAGUAAACUUGACUUACCCCGGGUUCAUGGGAGGCCACUCUUUACUGCAAUCACUUCCUAAACUUCUGAGCAUUUCUCGUA
This 1965-nucleotide long non-coding RNA is filed under the name Carica papaya (papaya). RNAcentral's name for it is "long non-coding RNA (CPAP_LNC003487)". Lineage: Eukaryota; Viridiplantae; Streptophyta; Magnoliopsida; Brassicales; Caricaceae. The record is from RNAcentral.